CUGAUCUCAAAUCAGGUAGGACUACCCGCUGAAACUUAAGAUCUCAUUUAUUCAAUAAAUGAUCCUUCCGAAG
This 73-nucleotide ribosomal RNA is filed under the name Rhizoctonia solani. RNAcentral describes it as "partial 28S ribosomal RNA". The record is from RNAcentral. Lineage: Eukaryota; Fungi; Basidiomycota; Agaricomycetes; Cantharellales; Ceratobasidiaceae.